RNAcentral lists this ribosomal RNA (208 nucleotides) under uncultured Mesotoga sp. RNAcentral describes it as "partial 16S ribosomal RNA". It matches the Rfam family "Bacterial small subunit ribosomal RNA", at positions 568 to 774 of the family's 1533-position model. Lineage: Bacteria; Thermotogati; Thermotogota; Thermotogae; Kosmotogales; Kosmotogaceae. The record is from RNAcentral.
AGCGUAGGUGGCCUAACAUGUCAAACUGUGAAAACCCGGAGCUCAACUCCGGACUUGCAGUUGAAACUGGUAGGCUUGAGGACGGUAGAGGAAGACGGAACUGCCAGUGUAGGGGUAAAAUCCUUAGAUAUUGGCAGGAACGCCGGUGACGAAGGUGGUUUUCUGGGCCGGUUCUGACACUGAUGCUCGAAAGCCAGGGGAGCGAACG